Molecule: ribosomal RNA, 253 nt
Filed under: uncultured bacterium
Lineage: Bacteria
Description: partial 16S ribosomal RNA
Rfam family: Bacterial small subunit ribosomal RNA
Source: RNAcentral
UACGGGGGGGGUAAGCGUUGUUCGGAAUCACUGGGCGUAAAGCGCACGUAGGCGGAUGUGUCAGUCAGGGGUGAAAUCCCGGGGCUCAACCUCGGAACUGCCUUUGAUACAGCACGUCUCGAGUCCGGAAGAGGUGGGUGGAAUUCCUAGUGUAGAGGUGAAAUUCGUAGAUAUUAGGAAGAACACCGGUGGCGAAGGCGGCCCACUGGUCCGGUACUGACGCUGAGGUGCGAAAGCGUGGGGAGCGAACGGG